CCACGAGAGGGCAUCAUCUGAUAUUUUCCCUGAACCGGAUGAGGCGAGGCGAGGCUGGUGGAGUAUUUGAGUUCAGGCGGGAAAAACGAAUACGUGAUGACGCAACACGUUGAAUGAAUUGUUUUUGUUUAUGCGAUGGCGCCCAACAAAAUAAAACACGUCUAGUGUACAUCACAGCUGAUUUUCUCCCUCAGACUGCCGAAGAGAGCUGGGUCAGACUGCAUGUUACCUUCACUCAGUUUUUCAACAGACGCUCACGGUUUGCGCACACCAGAAAAGAUGACAUCCAUGAUGGAGUGGCUUUCCAGCCCAGCUGUCCAAAACAUGUUUUUUGGACAAAUAACAAGGAAUGUCUCCUCAAAAAGCCCAGGGGAAUGCUGGGAUCCCCCUGCAGUGCUACACCCAGCACAACACCUCCAAGAGAAGAUAAUGUGAAAACCCCAACAGGCAAGUUGUUAUUUGGCCACCACACAGACAGAAUGGAAAAAUGUUGUUUUCAUAAUACAAAUCUUGUUUCUGUCUUGAAUCUGGGCUGAAUUAGGUGGAUUUAGGACUUCAAGUCAACAAACAAAGACUCCUAAGGAGCAGAGAUUUGAUUUGAAGGAUAGAUAAACUGGGGUCUGCAAAGUUUUUUUUCAUUCUGACCACAAAAAAGCGCAUUUGACUUUUUAAACCUAAAUUUUAUAUAGCUUAUAUAGUUGAUAUUAUUAUUUAAUUUCAAUAGUUAUAUUGUGAAAUAUUAUAAUUUAAAAUAACUGUUUUCUAGUUUAGUGUAUUUUAAAAUGUCCUUUCUUUAUUUAAUGGCAAAGCUGACUAUUCAGCAUCAUUACUCCAGUCUUCAUUUUUAUAGACCCAUUUAGUCUGUAUUCAGUGGUGGUCAUUCAGGUGGAGUUUUAUUAACAGUGGUGGUUCACAGAAGAAAUCCAGACCUACAGCAUCUGACCAUAAACCCAGCUCAACAAACCCACACAGAAGUGCCCAGCAGGUUCCACAGGGCUCUCCUGAGACGAGAUGCCCUCUUUGUAGAGAAUCCUUCAGUUUCUGAUUAUCUGCCUUUCCAUGCUUCCUCCUGCCUGGAUUGUGAUUCAGUGGCGCUCAUGGGAGUCAGGGAACCAGAGGUCAUGAUCUCACUGCACUCUUCUGUUUUUGGCUCUGGUGCAGAUGAGCAGCAUAUGGUUCCAUGUCCUCUAUGCUCCUUCCGAUUCCCCCCAGACUGUACCCAGCAGCACGCCAGCGCCUGUGGUGACCCGGUAGAGCCUGGUACUGCGUGACAGAACUGAGUGAAACCUUUUCAAAAUAGCAAUAUGCAAAUCAGAUAUUCUCUUGGUUUCUCUGGCCUAACAUUGUAUAUACUACUGCCUUAGGAAUUUUUUGGCUUAGGAAAAGUUUCAUUCUCCAGUUUUUGUUGUUUUUAGAGGCACUUUAUAGCAUUGGUCACUAUGAAAUGUUUGUCGUCUUAUCUGCUUUACACUCUCUUUUUGAUAUCAAGAUCAUAUUAGAAUGCUGUUUGUAAUUGUUUACAUUAUAUUUAUUAUUUAGAAUGUUUAGAUUCCGCCUUGUAAUUUUUAUCACUUCCUCAACAACAAAAAGAAAUAUAUUUUUUGAUUAAAAAAUUAUGUAUACACUACUGUUUAAAAUUUUGGGGUAGGCAAGAUGUUUUCUGUGUUUUUUUUUCUUUUUAUGAAGAAGUCUCUUAUGAUCAUCAAAGCUGCAUUUUAUUUGAUCAAAAAUACAGUAAAAACUUAUAAUAAUAUUAACUUUUAAGCAAAAUCUUUUCUAUUUGAAUAUAUUUUAAAAUGUAGUUUAUCCUGUGAUAGCAAGGAUUGCUUCAGUUUAGAAAUCAUACGAAUAUGCUCAUUUGGUGCUCAAAAACAUUUCUUAUUAUCAAUGUCAAAAAAAGGUUGAGCUGCUUAAUAUUAUUGUGUAAACUGUGAUAAACUUGUUGAAUACAAAUCUUUUGUAUCAUAACUGUCUUUACUGUAACGUUCGAUCAAUUUAAUGUGUCCUUCCUGAAUAAAAGGAUUAAUUUCA
Long non-coding RNA from Carassius gibelio (silver crucian carp), 2031 nucleotides. RefSeq lists it as uncharacterized. Lineage: Eukaryota; Metazoa; Chordata; Actinopteri; Cypriniformes; Cyprinidae. The transcript has 5 exons. The record is from RefSeq and is a predicted model, not a curated record.